AACGAACGCUGGCGGCAUGCCUAACACAUGCAAGUCGAACGAUACCUUCGGGUCUAGUGGCGCACGGGUGCGUAACGCGUGGGAACCUGCCCUUAGGUUCGGAAUAACUCCCCGAAAGGGGUGCUAAUACCGGAUAAUGUCUUCGGACCAAUGAUUUAUCGCCUUUGGAUGGGCCCGCGUUGGAUUAGCUAGUUGGUAGGGUAAAAGCCUACCAAGGCGACGAUCCAUAGCUGGUCUGAGAGGAUGAUCAGCCACACUGGGACUGAGACACGGCCCAGACUCCUACGGGAGGCAGCAGUGGGGAAUAUUGGACAAUGGGCGAAAGCCUGAUCCAGCAAUGCCGCGUGAGUGAUGAAGGCCUUAGGGUUGUAAAGCUCUUUUACCCGGGAUGAUAAUGACAGUACCGGGAGAAUAAGCGCCGGCUAACUCCGUG
RNAcentral lists this ribosomal RNA (433 nucleotides) under uncultured bacterium. Its description in RNAcentral is "partial 16S ribosomal RNA". It matches the Rfam family "Bacterial small subunit ribosomal RNA", at positions 29 to 507 of the family's 1533-position model. The record is from RNAcentral.